This is a long non-coding RNA of Triticum dicoccoides, 676 nucleotides long. RefSeq lists it as uncharacterized. The record is from RefSeq and is a predicted model, not a curated record. Lineage: Eukaryota; Viridiplantae; Streptophyta; Magnoliopsida; Poales; Poaceae. The transcript is spliced from 2 exons.
ACAGGGCUGGCCCACCUAUCAGGCCGACUCUCCUCCAUCGCCGCCCCCUCCGGCGCAACUUCUCCCCCCGGUGGGCUGCCUGGCGUCUGGUCACGACCCUCCAUGGGUGCCGCCGGUACCCCUCCUCUCCUCACGCUGCCACCUAGAGGCGCCCUUCCCCACUUCUGCGCGGAGCCGCCGAGGGUUGCACAUCCCCACCGGGCAAGGGAAGCAACGCAAUUAAGUAGAUUCAGAAAUCGCAAGCAGUGGCUCAGUGUAUACUCGACUUGGUGCAGAUGGAGCUGGUGGGCACACGCAGAGUGCUCGGUUGAAUGCUUGUGGCAGCUGAACAACUUGGAAAGGGUCGGCCGCAGCUUGAGGCUGGCAUCGGCACGCUGCCAUGGCCGUGCAACGUGUGCAUCCGAGCAUCGGCGUUGACGUGCGUGACCCCAUGGUUCACGCGGCACUGCAGUUCUACUCCAAUCUUCUCCCGGCGGUCUCAUUCCCCUUCUGCAUUGUUGGCGAAGGGCGGCUUGGUGCGUGCACACGAGGUGCUCGAUACAAUGCGAGAGAGAUAGACUAGUCACCCUGUAUGUGUGGCUUUCUUUUUUGCCAACUCAGCCCAAUGGGUGGAACCAACCUGCUAGUUUUAUUGUUAAGCGUGAUUAAUAUUUGAAUCAGUGGGAUUUGUGACUCA